This 351-nucleotide long non-coding RNA is filed under the name Cavia porcellus (domestic guinea pig). RNAcentral's name for it is "lncRNA (ENSCPOG00000037231.1)". Lineage: Eukaryota; Metazoa; Chordata; Mammalia; Rodentia; Caviidae. The record is from RNAcentral.
CCCAGGCCCUGUCAUUCUGCCACUGAGCCUGGCUGUGCCUCUGCUCUGCCAAUCUAGCAAGAGCAGCCCUUAGGCCCUUGGACAGAUGCAGAGCAUUAGCAACUGGCCUGGCUGUGUGGCCACCACCGCUGUUCCCUUCCCUGGGCUCCCUCCCCCUUCUGGGAGAAAAGCAAGAUCCAAGAAGGACUUCCAGACUGAGCUGGGGUGCUGAGGGCCACACACAUGCCAGUCCUGGAGUGGCGAGGGCAGUGAGUGCCAAGGUUACCAGCCACUGGGCUGCGGAGCUGCUGGGCUGUUGUCAUGGAGACGGCUGGGCUGCUGCUGCUGGGAAAGGAAGCAAUUAGCCCAAAA